UUUGACCCUUCGAGUUUGCGAAUAAAAUAAGGGCCAUUAUACGUAUGUGAUGAUUUAUCCAUGGCAUUAUGUACAAGAAUUUGGAUUAGGCAAUCUUGUUGGAAUUCCGGUUCACGGUUUACCAUGUGCUUGUUGAAUUGUAUACAAUCGUUGCUUUGAAAUAACAUAUGGCGUUCAUAAAAGAUGGAUGGUUUUCCGAGAUCAAUGAUCUUUGGUAUGGUCAAGCCAUGUCGUUUGAGAUUAAAGAGAUUUUAUAUCAUAAAAGAUCCCAAUUUCAAGAUAUUCUUGUGUUUAAGAGCAAGUCACAUGGUAAUGUGUUGGUACUAGAUGGUUGUAUACAAUGUACUGAUCGAGAUGAAUUUACUUAUCAGGAAAUGAUAACUUAUCUUCCUCUGAGCUCUCAUCCCUGUCCAAAGAAGGUCUUGGUUAUUGGCGCAGGUGAUGGGGGUGUUAUACGAGAGAUUGCAAAGCAUCCUUCUGUCGAAUCUAUUGUACAAUGUGAAAUAGAUGAGGAAGUUGUAAAUGUUUCAAAGAAAUUCUUACCUAUAUUAUCAUGUGGUUAUUCAAGUCCCAAACAUACUCUACAUAUUGGCUGUGGUAAAGAGUUUAUGAAGAAGCAUCAGGGGGAAUUUGAUGUCAUUAUAACUGAUUCAUCUGAUCCUAUAGGACCUGCUGCUUCUUUGUUUGAAAAAGAAUAUUAUCAACUUAUGAAAUUUGCUUUAAAGCCAGAUGGACUUUUGUGCAGUCAAGGUGAAUGCCCUUGGCUAGAUGCUGCUUUUAUCAACAAUAUGAUGAAGUUCUGCAACCAACUGUUCCCCGUUGUUCAAUAUGCAUACACUAAUGUUCCCACUUAUCCAUGUGGACAGAUUGGAUUUCUAAUGUGCAGUUCCAAUCCAGAAACCAGGUUUGAUCAGCCAUUGGCUUCAAUGAAAAUUUGUCCUCAUUUGGUUUCAAACUUUAUAACUGGAUGUUCAUAGCACGGCUUGUGUCUUUCCACAGUAUUUCAAGAAGCGUGAGAAAGACUUUAGAAAAACUGGUGCAAGGGAUGAAAAGGACUGGUUUUGGGAAAAGCGACAAAACUCUCCUGACCAAUCACUAUGUUUGAUUAAAGAAGAAGUUCACAUCUCGGAAAUAAUUGAUGAUCAGAAAGUGCUUGUUUUCGAAAAUUUCAUUUAUGGAAAGGUAAUGGCAGUUAACGACGUCAUUAUUCGUACAGAACGCGAUCAGUUUUUCUUGGAUGAAUCCUUAGUUCAUCUUGCUUUGAGCUGUCACGAGAAUCCGAAAAAGGUUUUCCUUGUUUCAGAUUUUUCUAUGCAGACAUUUUCCUUUUUACCCGCUCUAAAAUGUAGGUGGCGAUCAUAGGUGGUUUGAGUGGUGCUAUUUUACAUGAAGUAUCGCGAUAUGCUUCUGUUGAAGAGAUUUAUAUGUGCGAGGAAA
RNA transcript from Xenia sp. Carnegie-2017, 1437 nucleotides. It is a transcript of the gene named spermidine synthase-like, with no coding region annotated. The transcript is spliced from 9 exons. The record is from RefSeq and is a predicted model, not a curated record. Lineage: Eukaryota; Metazoa; Cnidaria; Anthozoa; Malacalcyonacea; Xeniidae.